UACGUAUGGUGCAAGCGUUAUCCGGAAUGACUGGGUGUAAAGGGAGCGUAGACGGUUGUACAAGUCUGAUGUGAAAGCCCACGGCUCAACUGUGGGAGUGCAUUGGAAACUGUAGAACUAGAGUAUCGGAGAGGCAAGUGGAAUUCCUAGUGUAGCGGUGAAAUGCGUAGAUAUUAGGAGGAACACCAGUGGCGAAGGCGGCUUACUGGACUGUAACUGACGUUGAGGCUCGAAGGCGUGGGGAGCAAACAGG
Molecule: ribosomal RNA, 253 nt
Filed under: uncultured bacterium
Lineage: Bacteria
Description: partial 16S ribosomal RNA
Rfam family: Bacterial small subunit ribosomal RNA
Source: RNAcentral